Molecule: ribosomal RNA, 253 nt
Filed under: uncultured bacterium
Lineage: Bacteria
Description: partial 16S ribosomal RNA
Rfam family: Bacterial small subunit ribosomal RNA
Source: RNAcentral
GACGUAGGGCGCGAGCGUUGUCCGGAUUUAUUGGGCGUAAAGAGCUCGUAGGCGGCUUGUCGCGUCGUCCGUGAAAACCCACAGCUCAACUGUGGGCUUGCGGUCGAUACGGGCAGGCUAGAGUUCGGUAGGGGAGACUGGAAUUCCUGGUGUAGCGGUGAAAUGCGCAGAUAUCAGGAGGAACACCGGUGGCGAAGGCGGGUCUCUGGGCCGAUACUGACGCUGAGGUGCGAAAGCGUGGGGAGCAAACAGG